This 512-nucleotide ribosomal RNA is filed under the name uncultured bacterium. RNAcentral's name for it is "partial 16S ribosomal RNA". It matches the Rfam family "Bacterial small subunit ribosomal RNA", at positions 28 to 507 of the family's 1533-position model. The record is from RNAcentral.
GAUGAACGCUGGCGGCGUGCCUAAUACAUGCAAGUCGAACGAAACUUCUUUAUCACCGAGUGCUUGCACUCACCGAUAAAGAGUUGAGUGGCGAACGGGUGAGUAACACGUGGGCAACCUGCCCAAAAGAGGGGGAUAACACUUGGAAACAGGUGCUAAUACCGCAUAACCAUAGUUACCGCAUGGUAACUAUGUAAAAGGUGGCUAUACUACCGCUUUUGGAUGGGCCCGCGGCGCAUUAGCUAGUUGGUAGGGUAAAGGCUUACCAAGGCAAUGAUGCGUAGCCGAAUUGAGAGGUUGAUCGGCAACAUUGGGACUGAGACACGGCCCAAACUCCUAAGGGAGGCAGCAGUAGGGAAUCUUCCACAAUGGGCGAAAGCCUGAUGGAGCAACGCCGCGUGGGUGAAGAAGGUCUUCGGAUCGUAAAACCCUGUUGUUAGAGAAGAAAGUGCGUGAGAGUAACUGUUCACGUUUCGACGGUAUCUAACCAGAAAGCCACGGCUAACUACGUG